UUCCAGGCACUUAAAAAUGGAUACAGAAAGACUAGAGGGUGGGCAGUGUUGUGUGUGAGAUUGGAAAUGGGUAUAACAGAUUCCAGAGUCUGCGGCUUCACAGGGCGUUUUCUGUCCCAUUUCACCAAGUUGCUCUUACACUCUAGGAUUGCAUUGCGGGUUCAGGAAGUUGAAGAUUUGUCCAGGAGCAGAUAGCUGAAGAGAGAGAGAAAGAAGAGAGAACGGCUUACAGCUCAGGUCCUCUCUCCAUGCUUAGGAACCACUACAAAUGCUACUGCCUUCAGCCUCAUUUUGUUUCCCCCUGGAAACCACAUGUGUACUUUGUUUGCAACAGUAUGGGUAUGGUUAUUUGUUAGUUCUUACACAUUUAUUUUAAAAUCUAAAGAAGUAGUGCCAUAAAGCUUUAUCAGGAUGUAUUUAAAAUGAAAAUAGUCUCUUGUUAUCUAGCAUGCAACUGAUUCAUUCAAUUUGGUUUUGUUAGUCAGAAUCUUACCAGAAGUCUGCCCAGGUGAUAGUUUAGUUGAGAGCAU
Molecule: long non-coding RNA, 530 nt
Organism: Symphalangus syndactylus (siamang)
Lineage: Eukaryota; Metazoa; Chordata; Mammalia; Primates; Hylobatidae
Source: RefSeq, a predicted model, not a curated record